GACAGAGGGUGCAAGCGUUGCUCGGAAUUAUUGGGCGUAAAGCGCGUGUAGGCGGUCUGGUAAGUGGGGUGUGAAAGCCCUCGGCUCAACCGAGGAAGUGCGCCCCAAACUACCAGACUCGAGUGCUGGAGAGGGAAGCGGAAUUCCCGGUGUAGAGGUGAAAUUCGUAGAUAUCGGGAGGAACAUCAGUGGCGAAGGCGGCUUCCUGGACAGACACUGACGCUGAGACGCGAAAGCGUGGGGAGCAAACAGG
This 253-nucleotide unclassified non-coding RNA is filed under the name uncultured Myxococcales bacterium. RNAcentral's name for it is "contains 16S-23S intergenic spacer region". It matches the Rfam family "Bacterial small subunit ribosomal RNA", at positions 524 to 776 of the family's 1533-position model. The record is from RNAcentral. Lineage: Bacteria; Pseudomonadati; Myxococcota; Myxococcia; Myxococcales.